This 497-nucleotide ribosomal RNA is filed under the name uncultured bacterium. RNAcentral describes it as "partial 16S ribosomal RNA". It matches the Rfam family "Bacterial small subunit ribosomal RNA", at positions 28 to 507 of the family's 1533-position model. The record is from RNAcentral.
GAUGAACGCUGGCGGCGUGCCUAAUACAUGCAAGUCGAGCGAACAGACGAGGAGCUUGCUCCUCUGACGUUAGCGGCGGACGGGUGAGUAACACGUGGAUAACCUACCUAUAAGACUGGGAUAACUUCGGGAAACCGGAGCUAAUACCGGAUAAUAUAUUGAACCGCAUGGUUCAAUAGUGAAAGACGGUUUUGCUGUCACUUAUAGAUGGAUCCGCGCCGCAUUAGCUAGUUGGUAAGGUAACGGCUUACCAAGGCAACGAUGCGUAGCCGACCUGAGAGGGUGAUCGGCCACACUGGAACUGAGGCACGGUCCAGACUCCUACGGGAGGCAGCAGUAGGGAAUCUUCCGCGAUGGGCGAAAGCUUGACGGAGCAACGCCGCGUGAGUGAUGAAGGUCUUCGGAUCGUAAAACUCUGUUAUUAGGGAAGAACAAAUGUGUAAGUAACUAUGCACGUCUUGACGGUACCUAAUGAGAAAGCCACGGCUAACUACGUG